AGAGUUUGAUCCUGGCUCAGGACGAACGCUGGCGGCGUGCUUAACACAUGCAAGUCGAGCGAAAGGAUUCCCUUCGGGGAUGAAUUUAGCGGCGGACGGGUGAGUAACACGUGGGCAACCUGCCUUAUAGAGGGGGAUAGCCUUCCGAAAGGAAGAUUAAUACCGCAUAACAUCAUUUUACCGCAUGGUAGUUUGAUCAAAGGAGCAAUCCGCUAUAAGAUGGGCCCGCGGCGCAUUAGCUAGUUGGUGAGGUAACGGCUCACCAAGGCGACGAUGCGUAGCCGACCUGAGAGGGUGAUCGGCCACAUUGGGACUGAGACACGGCCCAGACUCCUACGGGAGGCAGCAGUGGGGAAUAUUGCACAAUGGGGGAAACCCUGAUGCAGCAACGCCGCGUGAGUGAUGAAGGCCUUCGGGUUGUAAAGCUCUGUCUUUGGGGACGAUAAUGACGGUACCCAAGGGGGAAGCCACGGCUAACUACGUGCCAGCAGCCGCGGUAAUACGUAGGUGGCAAGCGUUGUCCGGAUUUACUGGGCGUAAAGGGAGCGUAGGUGGAUAUUUAAGU
Molecule: ribosomal RNA, 565 nt
Filed under: uncultured Bacillota bacterium
Lineage: Bacteria; Bacillati; Bacillota
Description: bacterial SSU rRNA
Rfam family: Bacterial small subunit ribosomal RNA
Source: RNAcentral